AUUGAACGCUGGCGGCAGGCCUAACACAUGCAAGUCGAGCGGGUGCAGCGGGCUUGCUCCUGGAUUCAGCGGCGGCCGGGUGAGUCAUGCCUAUGAAUCUGCCUGGUCGUGGGGGAUAGCGUCCUGAAACGGGCGCUAAUGCCGCAUACGUCCUGAUGGCGACAGUGGGUGAUCUUCGGACCUCACGCUAUCAGAUGAGCCUAGAUCGCAUUCGCUAGUUGGGGGGGUAACGGACUACCAAGGCGACGAUCCGUAACUGGUCUGAGAGGAUGGUCAGUCACACUGGAACUGAGAAACGGUCCCGACUCUGACGCGAGGCAGCAGUGGGGAAUAUUGGACAAGGGGCGAAAGCCUGAUACAGGAAUGCCGCGUGUGGGAAGAAGGUGUUCGGCUUGGUAAGCGCUUUAAGUCGGGGGGAAGGGCAGUAAGUUUAUCCGUGGCUGUAUUGACGGUACCAACAGAAUAAGCACCGGCUAACUUCGUG
This 484-nucleotide ribosomal RNA is filed under the name uncultured bacterium. RNAcentral's name for it is "partial 16S ribosomal RNA". It matches the Rfam family "Bacterial small subunit ribosomal RNA", at positions 30 to 507 of the family's 1533-position model. The record is from RNAcentral.